Magnolia sinica is the source of this 1633-nucleotide RNA transcript. It is a transcript of the gene named autophagy-related protein 16-like, with no coding region annotated. The record is from RefSeq and is a predicted model, not a curated record. The transcript is spliced from 4 exons. NCBI's taxonomy places the organism in Eukaryota, Viridiplantae, Streptophyta, Magnoliopsida, Magnoliales, Magnoliaceae.
UUCCUCAAUAUUGUAAGAAAUACAUUAUUUUUCUUUUGAAGCUAAAAACAUCCAGCUAGAUAUUGAGGGAAAUGAUUGGAAAAUAUUCUAAUCCAAUAAAAUUUGGAUUGUCUACUAUCCUUUUCAAUCUGUCAUGGUUAGUCUUUUAUGCUUCAGUGGAAUACAGUUUUAUUUAUUUAUUAUUUCAUAUUGUUUUGAUUGAAUUGAUUCUUACAUGCAUGCAGGGCUUAGAGUGGAAGGAGAAAGGAGAAGAAUCUUCAACUAGAACAAUGUCUCUAAGCUUAAAGACAUUGUUUGAGCAGCUUGCAGUGGAAGUUGAGCCCAGUACCUCAGAAGCAUUGGAUCAAGAGAAAGAAGAAGUGUUCCCAGAUUUACCAAAUGAAGUUACCCAAGCAAGUGAACAGCAUGAUCGAUCAAGACCUAUUCCAAGAUUUUGCAGGGGAGAAAGCUCCCAAUUAAGGGAGACUUUAGAAGAUGAUGGACCGAUUGAUAAGCAAGAACCAGAUAAUCAAAGCAGAAGGAGGGGAGGGCACACUAAAACCCAGAAAGGUAGAGCUAAGAAACAGAUGUCGACUGAUCAAAGGAUACCUUUGUAGAUGCCGGAUUCAAAAUGGUUGAUUCAGCCUAACGCAACGUACAAAGACGAGAUAGAUUGGCUCAAUGGCAACAAUGAAGAUGACAGUGUGGUUCAUGGUGGAUUCAUCUGUUCAUCUAUUCCCUCUGAAUACAAGCACAAGGUCAACGCCCACGAAGGUGGAUGUGGUUCUAUACUGUUCAAUUACGAUUCUGAUAAGUUAAUUACUAGAGGGAAGGAUGGAACAAUCAACAUCAAGCGGCUCGAACUUGUAUUGGUUUGGUGUAGGCUCUGGUAGGAUCCUUCAUACACUAAAAGGACACACAGAUAAGAUCUGCACCGUUGAUUCUUCAAGGCAGUAUGUGGUCAGUGCUGGUCAGGAUCAAAGACUAAAAAUUUGGGACAUACAGGGUGGUUACUACAACACCACUGCCUACUUAGACAGCAACUGAAAUGCGCUUUGCAGUUGCAAUGAUGGAAGGAUCCUUUGGUCAGCUCGUGCCAACGGGAAGCUUUGUUUGUGGGGUACAAAUACGGCAUGGUGUAUCCAUGAAGUUGCCGCUCAUCACAGCUCCAUCACAUCAAUCUCUCAGUCUGGAUGUGGACGCAUUUUGUUGACGAGUGGAAGGGACAAUGUGCACAAGUUUUUCGACAUACGAACCUUCAAAGUCUGUGGCAAGUUUAGAGUGAAAGGACAUAGCUUGGCAUUAAAUCAGAGUCGUUCAUGCAUGAGCCCAGAUGACAAUUAUGUUGCAGCGGGGUACGCCGAUGCAUCUAUUUAUGUCUGGUUGAGAUUAAAAGGGGAGACAGUGGGUACCUUAACGGGCCACACAGCUCCUGUUCUUUCAUGUUCGUGGAGUGGGCUGGGAAUGCCCCUUGCUUCUACUGAUGAGAAUGGAACAUUAUGCAUAUGGACAUGAUAGUUUUCAUUUUUCUUGAUUUUCCAUGUGGUAAUAACUGUAAUAAGACAUUUGUGUCUUAUGUGUUUCCCAUUAUGCCCUUUCUCAGUGGCAUUAUUUUAUCAUAUUAUAACUUCAACGCUAUGUAGUAAUCAAAUUA